Acanthosepion pharaonis is the source of this 111-nucleotide non-coding RNA. NCBI's taxonomy places the organism in Eukaryota, Metazoa, Mollusca, Cephalopoda, Sepiida, Sepiidae. The record is from the annotation of a GenBank genome assembly.
CAGUGAUAUCGCAUUGAAACAUCAGUUCCUGUAAAAUCACUGAAGUUAAGCAGCGUUAGGCCUGGUCAGUACCUAGAUGGGUGACUGCUCGGGAAUACCUGAUGUUGUAAG